RNAcentral lists this ribosomal RNA (465 nucleotides) under uncultured bacterium. Its description in RNAcentral is "partial 16S ribosomal RNA". It matches the Rfam family "Bacterial small subunit ribosomal RNA", at positions 28 to 507 of the family's 1533-position model. The record is from RNAcentral.
GACGAACGCUGGCGGCGUGCUUAACACAUGCAAGUCGAACGGAAAGGCCCCUUUGGGGGUCCUCGAGUGGCGAACGGGUGAGUAACACGUGAGUAACCUGCCCUUGACUUCGGGAUAACUUCAGGAAACUGGGGCUAAUACCGGAUAGGAAUCCUUGCUGCAUGGUGGGGGUUGGAAAGCUUCGGCGGUUUUGGAUGGACUCGCGGCUUAUCAGCUUGUUGGUGGGGUAGUGGCUUACCAAGGCUUUGACGGGUAGCCGGCCUGAGAGGGCGACCGGCCACAUUGGGACUGAGAUACGGCCCAGACUCCUACGGGAGGCAGCAGUGGGGAAUAUUGCACAAUGGGCGGAAGUCUGAUGCAGCAACGCCGCGUGCGGGAUGACGGCCUUCGGGUUGUAAACCGCUUUCAGCAGGGGCGAAGCUUGUGGUGACGGUACCUGCAGAAGAAGCACCGGCUAACUACGUG